This 203-nucleotide long non-coding RNA is filed under the name Aquilegia coerulea. RNAcentral's name for it is "long non-coding RNA (ACOE_LNC000750)". The record is from RNAcentral. Lineage: Eukaryota; Viridiplantae; Streptophyta; Magnoliopsida; Ranunculales; Ranunculaceae.
UAUUUAGGUUUAUGUUUAAUUGGUGUUUUUAGGUGUUUUAGGGUAUUUUUAUUUUAGGGUUAUUUUAAUUUCGAAUUAUGUUUUCUAUUUUCAUUAGAAUUGGUCUAGGUUUAGGUUUCCUUGUUUUCCAAGGAUUGUUUUUCCUAUUUAAAGAGUUGUAGGCCUUUGGCCAAGUAGGUGUUGAUUGGUUAAUUGAAUUGUGU